GGAUGAAAGCCUGUGGGUUGUAAACCUCUUUUCUCAAGGAAGAAAUUUUGACGGUACUUGAGGAAUAAGCAUCGGCUAACUCUGUGCCAGCAGCCGCGGUAAUACAGAGGAUGCAAGCGUUAUCCGGAAUCACUGGGCAUAAAGCGUCUGUAGGUGGCUUAUCAAGUCUGCUGUUAAAGACUAGGGCUUAACCCUGGGAAAGCAGUGGAAACUAGUAAGCUUGAGUGUGGUAGGGGUAGAGGGAAUUCCUGGUGUAGCGGUGAAAUGCGUAGAUAUUAGGAAGAACACCAAUGGCCAAAGC
RNAcentral lists this ribosomal RNA (301 nucleotides) under uncultured diatom. RNAcentral's name for it is "bacterial SSU rRNA". It matches the Rfam family "Bacterial small subunit ribosomal RNA", at positions 406 to 722 of the family's 1533-position model. Lineage: Eukaryota; Bacillariophyta. The record is from RNAcentral.